RNAcentral lists this ribosomal RNA (800 nucleotides) under uncultured cyanobacterium. Its description in RNAcentral is "bacterial SSU rRNA". It matches the Rfam family "Bacterial small subunit ribosomal RNA", at positions 34 to 880 of the family's 1533-position model. Lineage: Bacteria; Bacillati; Cyanobacteriota. The record is from RNAcentral.
CGCUGGCGGUAUGCUUACACAUGCAAGUCGAACGGUCUCUUCGGAGAUAGUGGCGGACGGGUGAGUAACGCGUGAGAAUCUGCCUUCAGGUCUGGGACAACCAUUGGAAACGGUGGCUAAUACCGGAUGAGCAGAGAUGUAAAAGAUUAAUUGCCUGAAGAUGAGCUCGCGUCUGAUUAGCUAGUUGGUGGGGUAAGAGCCUACCAAGGCGACGAUCAGUAGCUGGUCUGAGAGGAUGAUCAGCCACACUGGGACUGAGACACGGCCCAGACUCCUACGGGAGGCAGCAGUGGGGAAUUUUCCGCAAUGGGCGAAAGCCUGACGGAGCAAUACCGCGUGAGGGAGGAAGGCUCUUGGGUCGUAAACCUCUUUUCUCAGGGAAGAAAAAAAUGACGGUACCUGAGGAAUAAGCAUCGGCUAACUCCGUGCCAGCAGCCGCGGUAAUACGGAGGAUGCAAGCGUUAUCCGGAAUGAUUGGGCGUAAAGCGUCCGCAGGUGGCUAUGUAAGUCUGCUGUUAAAGAGUCUAGCUCAACUAGAUAAAAGCAGUGGAAACUACAUGGCUAGAGUGCGUUCGGGGCAGAGGAAUUCCUGGUGUAGCGGUGAAAUGCGUAGAGAUCAGGAAGAACACCGGUGGCGAAAGCGCUCUGCUAGGCCGCAACUGACACUGAGGGACGAAAGCUAGGGGAGCGAAUGGGAUUAGAUACCCCGUAGUCCUAGCCGUAAACGAUGGAUACUAGGCGUGGCUUGUAUCGACCCGAGCCGUGCCGUAGCUAACGCGUUAAGUAUCCCGCCUGGGGAG